GAUGAAGAACGCAGCGAAAUGCGAUAAGUAAUGUGAAUUGCAGAAUUCAGUGAAUCAUCGAGUCUUUGAACGCACAUUGCGCCCCCUGGUAUUCCGGGGGGCAUGCCUGUCCGAGCGUCAUUGCCGCCCUCAAGCACGGCUUGUGUGUUGGGCCCCCGCCCCCCGGCUUCGGGGGGCGGGCCCGAAAGGCAGCGGCGGCACCGCGUCCGGUCCUCGAGCGUAUGGGGCUUCGUCACCCGCUCUGUAGGCCCGGCCGGCGCCCGCCGGCGACCCCAAUCAAUCUUUCCAGGUUGACCUCGGAUCAGGUAGGGAUACCCGCUGAACUUAAGCAUAUCAAUAAGCGGGGGA
Molecule: unclassified non-coding RNA, 348 nt
Filed under: soil metagenome
Description: partial contains 5.8S ribosomal RNA, internal transcribed spacer 2, and large subunit ribosomal RNA
Rfam family: 5.8S ribosomal RNA (bases 1-120)
Source: RNAcentral